Long non-coding RNA from Triticum aestivum (bread wheat), 1437 nucleotides. RefSeq lists it as uncharacterized. NCBI's taxonomy places the organism in Eukaryota, Viridiplantae, Streptophyta, Magnoliopsida, Poales, Poaceae. The transcript is spliced from 5 exons. The record is from RefSeq and is a predicted model, not a curated record.
CCCACUCCCGGUGAUUGUUCGUCUCCUCCCGUUCGAUUUCCACCCCAUCUCUUCUCUCUUUUUCACCCACGACACAGGCGGCGCAGCCAGAGGAGGAACGGAUCCAGCCGAGGCACCACGAGGGGAUCUAGCGGAGGCGCUCCAGCCUAGGCUCCACGAGGGGACACCGAUGCGGGCGAGGGAUCCACGGCGAGCGCACGCUGCAGGUGGCUACAGGCGAAAGGCGCGCUGCGGGUGGGUCAAGCACUCAAGGACCCUUCGAUCCAGACGACGCGGCCGAUUUUGCUGCAAGGGAAAGGGUGGCGAUGCAAUCAAUGGCGUAUAAGAUCGUGGUGGCAGAGAUGACGGGCGGCAAAGCAAUGUCGACGGUGGCGGUGGGCAACGAGGAGGAGUAUGAGGCUGUGGAGGAGGCCGGGGAUAGAAGAAGACAUGAGCGCCAAUGAAGUGUCCACCACCGCAGCACUACUUCACCCCCCGGCUGCAAUGUCUCCAAUCUACAUCGUAGUACGGUGGCGCAUCCUCCAUAAUGGCAAGCGAUCCUGUUCAACAGCUUGCUGGUCAAGGUCAACUAUGUGAUCUUUGGGAUCCCAUGCAUGCCAACCGUGAAUCAAGGAACAUGCUUGGAAAUGUUACCUGCAACUGAUCAGCAUCUGUUAGAUGAUGUCAAUGGGCUAAAACACUUGACCCGUUGACCUUGAUUUCAUUGAACAAGUGAGACUUCGUCCUGAAUUGUCGUGUUGGAUGUUUCAAGUGUUAAUACAUGAUUUAAUUGCUAUUCAGUCAGCUAUAUCUAUGAUUGUGAUAAUCUGGAUUCUUGAAUGAGAUGUCCUAUACAAAAUAAGCUAUGAAAGAGAAAGCAACUACUGCAGUUUUCUAAUAGUCACCCCGAUCUGUUGGUUCACACCAAGGUGUAUAUAAAACAGAGACUACACAGUUGGAUUUGUGAUGUUUCAUACAGCAGUUGUGCUAGAAAAUGUACCGGUGCAGGUCAUUGGUGCUUUUGACCGCCGGGACUUGCACUUCUGAACGUUUUUAGUCGUCUGAUCAAAAGCAUUGGAAUGGGCAGCUGCUCCCGCAACAAAACUGGAGACAUUUGGUUAUUCUACUGAACCAAACGUCGGGCGCGGCAUUUUACUUGUGUGCAGCAAUUGGAUUGAAAUUGGGACAAGGAAAAGAGAUAUCUGCUGAGAAGCCAUAUAUUUUAGCUGUCUGAGAAGUUGAGAUUUAUAGUUUUUGAAGAUUUGGUCUGUUCCACCUGAUAGGAGCUAUUGUUUGAAUGCAUCAAGUCUUGGAUUGAGCAAGUGAAGUUAUUCUAAAUAUUACCAGUUGUGCACGACCGAGCGUAUAUUACAAUCAGUUUUGCUAAGUCUCGGUCGACUUAGACUUCGUUAUGUCUCAGUCAGACAAUGUUAUAUUCCUUUGAUCUUGAAUGGAGAU